AGAGUUUGAUCCUGGCUCAGAAUCAACGCUGGCGGCGUGCCUAACACAUGCAAGUCGAACGAGAAGGUGACUUCGGUCACUGGAAAGUGGCGUCCGGGUGAGUAACACGUGGGUAAUCUACCUCUGGGUGGGGAAUAACGUCUCGAAAGAGACGCUAAUACCGCAUAAUGCAGCGGCACCUAAUGGUGAAUAGUUGUUAAAGCGGGGGAUCGCAAGACCUCGCGCCUGAAGAGGAGCCUGCGGCAGAUUAGCUUGUUGGUAGGGUAAUGGCCUACCAAGGCUGCGAUCUGUAGCUGGUCUGAGAGGACGGCCAGCCACACUGGCACUGACACACGGGCCAGACUCCUACGGGAGGCAGCAGUGGGGAAUUUUGGGCAAUGGGCGAAAGCCUGACCCAGCAACGCCGCGUGAGGGAGGAAAUCCUUCGGGAUGUAAACCUCGCAAGCAAGGGAAGAAUGCUUCAGACCUAACACGUCUGAAGAGGGACGGUACCUUGCGUAAGCCACGGCUAACUACGUGCCAGCCGCCGCGGUAAUAC
RNAcentral lists this ribosomal RNA (538 nucleotides) under uncultured bacterium. RNAcentral's name for it is "bacterial SSU rRNA". It matches the Rfam family "Bacterial small subunit ribosomal RNA", at positions 8 to 526 of the family's 1533-position model. The record is from RNAcentral.